Molecule: ribosomal RNA, 337 nt
Filed under: uncultured Spirochaeta sp.
Lineage: Bacteria; Pseudomonadati; Spirochaetota; Spirochaetia; Spirochaetales; Spirochaetaceae
Description: bacterial SSU rRNA
Rfam family: Bacterial small subunit ribosomal RNA
Source: RNAcentral
UGUCGUCAGCUCGUGCUGUGAAGUGUUGGGUUAAGUCCCGCAACGAGCGCAACCCCUGCUGCCUGUUGCCACCACGAGAGGUGGGGACUCAGGCGGGACCGCCGGUGGACAAACCGGAGGAAGGUGGGGACGGACGUCAAGUCAUCAUGGCCCUUAUCGUCCUGGGCUACACACGUGCUACAAUGGCCGGUACAGAGCGACAGCGAGGCCGCGAGGCGGAGCGAAUCGACUUAAAGCCGGUCCCAGUACGGAUUGGAGUCUGCAACCCGACUCCAUGAAGUUGGAAUCGCUAGUAAUCGCGCAUCAGCAUGGCGCGGUGAAUACGUUCCCGGGCCUU